This 529-nucleotide ribosomal RNA is filed under the name uncultured bacterium. Its description in RNAcentral is "bacterial SSU rRNA". It matches the Rfam family "Bacterial small subunit ribosomal RNA", at positions 236 to 780 of the family's 1533-position model. The record is from RNAcentral.
GUCCGCUCAGCUUGUUGGCGGGGUAACGGCCCCACCAAGGCUCAGAUGGAUAGGGGUUUUGAGAGGAAGGUCCCCCACAUUGGAACUCACACACGGUCCAAACUCCACGGGAGGCAGCAGUGGGGAAUAUUGCACAAUGGGGGAAACCCUGAUGCAGCAACGCCGCGUGAGGGAAGACGGUUUUCGGAUUGUAAACCUCUGUUCUAAGUGACGAAGAAUGACGGUAGCUUAGGAGGAAGCCCCGGCUAACUACGUGCCAGCAGCCGCGGUAAUACGUAGGGGGCAAGCGUUGUCCGGAAUUACUGGGUGUAAAGGGAGCGCAGGCGGAGAAGCAAGUCAGUGGUGAAAGGUAUGGGCUUAACCCAUAGACUGCCAUUGAAAGUGUUUUCCUUGAGUGAAGUAGAGGCAGGCGGAAUUCCGAGUGUAGCGGUGAAAUGCAUAGAUAUUGCGCAGAACUCCGAUUGCGAAGGCAGCGUACCGGCGCCCGACUGACGCUGAGGCACGAAAGCGUGGGGAUCGAACAGGAUUA